AUGGCUAGUCACAAUUGCACUGUGCUCAAUUGGAAUGUGCGUGGCCUCAAUAAUCCGGCGCGCCGCCAAGUUGUGCGAGACUUGAUUUCCCAUCACCGUGCCUCGGUCAUUUCCCUCCAGGAAACUAAACUCCAGUUCAUCGAUCGCAGUAUUGUUUUGGAGACACUUGGCCCUGAUUUUGCUGAUUCUUUUUGCUAUCUACCUGCUGUUGGUACUCGAGGUGGAAUCCUCUUGGGGUUCUCCUCCCAUCUGUUUGACAUUCUAAACACAUCGGUCUCCACCAACACAAUCUCAGCAUCCGUGUCUAUGCGCGAGUCUGCCGCUUCCUGGAGCAUCACUGCUGUUUACGGACCUCAGUCUGACAGUGACAAAGCCGCUUUUAUUGAGGAAAUUAAGGGGAUUAAAUCUGCAAUGCUCCCAUCUUGGAUGCUGCUAGGGGACUUCAACCUGAUUUGCAAGGCCGAAGAUAAGAGCAACAGCUCCAUUAAUAGGAGACUUAUGAAUGCCUUCAAGUCGGCUCUGAACGCACUG
This 531-nucleotide ribosomal RNA is filed under the name Triticum aestivum (bread wheat). RNAcentral describes it as "partial small subunit ribosomal RNA". Lineage: Eukaryota; Viridiplantae; Streptophyta; Magnoliopsida; Poales; Poaceae. The record is from RNAcentral.